Long non-coding RNA from Haemorhous mexicanus (house finch), 2309 nucleotides. RefSeq lists it as uncharacterized. The record is from RefSeq and is a predicted model, not a curated record. Lineage: Eukaryota; Metazoa; Chordata; Aves; Passeriformes; Fringillidae. The transcript has 3 exons.
GCCCGCGCGCCAGCGGGGAGCGGCGCCAUUUCCUGCCCUCCCCCGGCGCGCGCCGGCAGCGCCUGAGGCGGCGGGGACGGGCAGGGCACGGUGAGGGCACGGGCAGCGGUCCCCGGGCCGCAGCUCCUGCUCGGCCGGGGCCAUCCGCGCUCCCUUGGGCCGUGCGCGGGCCCCGCGGGGCCGCACGGCUGGGCCGGGGACGGUGAGCGCUCUGCCUUUCCCUUCCCGGCCUCCAGCCGCGUUAUCUCCGGCUGCCAUUCCAGCCCGGCUCUGAGGGAGAAGGAUGCUGUGCUUAAAGCUGUGCUUGGGAGUGUUAUUCUUACGAGGUUUUUAGAAUCCUUGUCUAUCUCAGCUGGACUGUGACAUCUCAGGAAAUCAUUCAUCAGCCACUUGAAGUGUUUGUUAACAUACCUGGAGUUCAACUAUCUUCAGGGCAGACCUCAUCAAAUCUGAUGUGUGUUCCCAGCUGAGCUGACAGAGCUCCUCCACCUGCUACAGACACAUUGCUCCUACUAUUUGAACAAGAAGCUGGAUUCUUAUGGGAAAUGCUGUGGCAACAUUUAUGCUCUAUUACUGCGUGUAUUGCAUUAGAAAAGUGACCCACUCUGUUACAACUUGGCUACAUGAUAUGUACUUUGCUAUUUUCUGUUUUAAUAUCUUUUUGCCCAAAAGGGCAGUUUUUCAUGUAACAAUGCUAGGACUAUAAAAGACUUACAGUGUUCUUAGACCAUACAUAUCGGCUUUAAAGUAAUUUUUACUUACUUCCUUGUGAUCUUCAACUACACUGAGAAGUGUAUCGAUAGUAUUCAAGAUUCCCAUUGCUGUCACUGCUUUGUCAUCACUGCCCUCUUCAUCUGGACCAGUCUGGAUUACUUGGUUAAAUGUCAUUGCCUGCACAUAACAGCAGAACAACCCAUCAAUGUGUCAUUAAAUUGUGAAAGUCUGGCACUCUACACAAUUUCAGAAGGACUUCUGCUGAGAAAAUGUGUACAAAUAAUAGCAGGUGACUGCUCUGCUCCAGAAUUUCUUCUCAGGAUGAGAAAAUUUGGAUGUUAAACCAUUGGAGCUGUCUUCACCCUUUAUCUACUCCUGAAUAAAAAUAUGUAAAUGACAUUAUGUCCCAUGCAAAAGAAUACAUUUUCCCUUGGCAAAUUCUUCUGACACAGGGUUUCCUCAGUAGCUGAACUAGACUGGAACACUUGGCAGGCAUUCCCAGAGAGGACACACUAACAAUUCCAUUUUAACUCCAAGGCUUUUAAUAGGGAAGCACUGAGCUGACCUCUGCUUUGGCAACCAUUAAUACAACUUGCUAGAUAUGGCCAUCCAAGCUCUGUAUUUCUCCUGCAGAUUCAACUUGAUUUUCACACCAAACUUUUAAUUGAAAAUUUACUCUUUAAUGUUUUAAAACAGCUAAGUGUCGUUUUAGAGACUACCUAAAAUGUGCUACAAUUUCAUUAUUACCACUAUCAGGAGGAAAUACACAAAGAUUCCACAAACAUUUCUAGAAUCGUUAGAGAAAUUGCUACUCAGUGUAAGUUAUGAAGCCACUUCUGAUGAAACACUGUCUAAGUGUAGAAGAAAAUUCAUUGUAUCAAUGCACUUAAACAGACUGGAGUAACAACAACUAUUAAUUGAUGGUCAUACUCAACUAUCAAUUUUAAAUACCAAUCUUUCCCAUAUUAAACAUCUUCCCAAGCCACUGUAAAGUCUCACCAAAUGCUGUGUCAUUUCUACUGCAAUUGGGGUAACUUCUUCACUAUAUUCACAGAUCAUCUUCUGAAUCACAUUAGUAAGAUCAUCAUUUUCAGUCUCUCUUAUAAUAUGAAGCAAAGCUUGCAUUACAGGUCUAAUGAAUGGAGUAAUAUAUUCUUUAGCUGUAAAACAGGUGGAAUGUUUGAAUUAACAUUCUUAGAAAAGCACAGGUCAGUUUAAGAACCUACAUCUCAAAUAACUUUAUGUACUGCUUCAGCAUUAACAUGCCAAAACCACAAGUAGAAUAAAUCAUUAUAGCAAUACUACCAUGCAGAACAAAUUUUAAUAAUAUAUAACAAUAGGAUUGAAAUUUAAGUAUGUAAACCAGAGCACUGUGAUCUGAAUUAAUAAAAUGCAAGAUUAUUGAUCAAUGCAAAUGUUAAUUGAAUGGGAAUUGGUAUAUAUACACCUUUGUCAAAUUACCUGAAGUAUUAAAUAUACAGUUUAUGUUUGCUUUGUGGCUUUUAUGCCAGCUUCAGGAAUACUAAGCCAUGUAAAACCUACCUGGAUAAGGAUAGUUUUUUUUUUUUCUUUAAAUAAAUUUUAACAUGAAUGAA